GUGCAAUGAUGCAUGAAUUUUUUCACCAGAAAUCACUGUAAAGAGCAAAGUCAAGCUUUUUAACACAGAGUCACA
This is a small nucleolar RNA of Nannospalax galili (Upper Galilee mountains blind mole rat), 75 nucleotides long. Lineage: Eukaryota; Metazoa; Chordata; Mammalia; Rodentia; Spalacidae. The record is from Ensembl.